CGAUGCACUCCACUCAUUGCGUUGGGAACGGCUGUAAAAAAGGAGGAAACCAAUUUCCCUCGGCUUAGGGUGCGGCACUGUGGAGACGUGUCGCAAUGCGUGUCCGACAUUCGCGCGGAACGCGAGGCGGUUCGGUGGAGAAGUCCGGGGCCGCCAAGGUCAAGGCAGUAUGGCA
This 175-nucleotide non-coding RNA is filed under the name bovine gut metagenome. Its description in RNAcentral is "malK-I RNA". It matches the Rfam family "malK-I RNA". RNAcentral also lists the same sequence under 1 other name. The record is from RNAcentral.